GAUGAAGAACGCAGCGAAAUGCGAUACGUAAUGUGAAUUGCAGAAUUCAGUGAAUCAUCGAGUCUUUGAACGCACAUUGCGCCCCCUGGUAUUCCGGGGGGCAUGCCUGUCCGAGCGUCAUUGCUGCCCUCAAGCACGGCUUGUGUGUUGGGCCUCCGUCCUCCUCCCGGGGGACGGGCCCGAAAGGCAGCGGCGGCACCGCGUCCGGUCCUCGAGCGUAUGGGGCUUCGUCACCCGCUCUUGUAGGCCCGGCCGGCGCUUGCCGACACAUCAAUCUUUUUUUCAGGUUGACCUCGGAUCAGGUAGGGAUACCCGCUGAACUUAAGCAUAUCAAUAAGCGGAGGA
This 345-nucleotide unclassified non-coding RNA is filed under the name soil metagenome. RNAcentral's name for it is "partial contains 5.8S ribosomal RNA, internal transcribed spacer 2, and large subunit ribosomal RNA". The stretch from base 1 to 120 matches the Rfam family "5.8S ribosomal RNA", at positions 35 to 154 of the family's 154-position model. The record is from RNAcentral.